RNAcentral lists this small nuclear RNA (121 nucleotides) under Macleaya cordata. RNAcentral describes it as "U5 spliceosomal RNA". It matches the Rfam family "U5 spliceosomal RNA". Rfam says of the family: U5 RNA is a component of both types of known spliceosome. The precise function of this molecule is unknown, though it is known that the 5' loop is required for splice site selection and p220 binding, and that both the 3' stem-loop and the Sm site are important for Sm protein binding and cap methylation. Lineage: Eukaryota; Viridiplantae; Streptophyta; Magnoliopsida; Ranunculales; Papaveraceae. The record is from Rfam by way of RNAcentral.
AACCGCACAGUGAGCACAAAGCGAACUAUUCUUUCGCCUUUUACUAAAGAAUACCGUGUGCUCGCCGCACUCAGCGGUAUACACCUAUUUUUGUAGGAUUCUCUCUGCUUCUGUAGAGAAU